This 251-nucleotide ribosomal RNA is filed under the name uncultured bacterium. RNAcentral's name for it is "partial 16S ribosomal RNA". It matches the Rfam family "Bacterial small subunit ribosomal RNA", at positions 525 to 776 of the family's 1533-position model. The record is from RNAcentral.
ACGUAUGUCACGAGCGUUAUCCGGAUUUAUUGGGCGUAAAGCGCGUCUAGGUGGUUAUGUAAGUCUGAUGUGAAAAUGCAGGGCUCAACUCUGUAUUGCGUUGGAAACUGUGUAACUAGAGUACUGGAGAGGUAAGCGGAACUACAAGUGUAGAGGUGAAAUUCGUAGAUAUUUGUAGGAAUGCCGAUGGGGAAGCCAGCUUACUGGACAGAUACUGACGCUGAAGCGCGAAAGCGUGGGUAGCAAACAGG